Oryzias melastigma (Indian medaka) is the source of this 421-nucleotide long non-coding RNA. RefSeq lists it as uncharacterized. The transcript has 2 exons. NCBI's taxonomy places the organism in Eukaryota, Metazoa, Chordata, Actinopteri, Beloniformes, Adrianichthyidae. The record is from RefSeq and is a predicted model, not a curated record.
CCGCCGAUUUGUUGUAGUUCACGCCCACAGCUCUACCGUCUGCGGCUCCUCAAUGCUAACGGCUAACAGCUUCAAUUCUCCAGCAAAGCUGCACCGCGGUGGAUUAUUUACAUCAUGAAUCUUUACAGUUUGGAUUAAUGGGGACGUCAUUUCCAUUUGGCACCAGAAGGACAGUUCAACAAAACCACCACGGCGACAUGAUCUCAACGAGGACCCACAUCACCUGGAUCAGCUGAGGCAGACGAUGGUGAUGGACAUCUUUUAUUUUUAAUUCUACAAGGAAGAGCAGCUCCUGGUUCUCUCAUCACUGUGGAGGACGUGAACGGGCGACGUCUGGAGUCUGGAGCUGUCAUGGGGAUCGGAGAGAACGUCCAGCAGCUGCACACUCUUCAACCCACCAAUAAACUAUUAUUCUCUUUCA